RNAcentral lists this ribosomal RNA (253 nucleotides) under uncultured bacterium. RNAcentral's name for it is "partial 16S ribosomal RNA". It matches the Rfam family "Bacterial small subunit ribosomal RNA", at positions 524 to 776 of the family's 1533-position model. The record is from RNAcentral.
UACGUAGGGUGCGAGCGUUGUCCGGAAUUAUUAGGCGUAAAGAGCUUGUAGGCGGUCUGUCGCGUCUGCUGUGAAAAUCCGGGGCUCAACCCCGGACUUGCAGUGGGUACGGGCAGACUAGAGUGUGGUAGGGGAGACUGGAAUUCCUGGUGUAGCGGUGAAAUGCGCAGAUAUCAGGAGGAACACCGAUGGCGAAGGCAGGUCGCUGGGCCACUACUGACGCUGAGAAGCGAAAGCAUGGGGAGCGAACAGG